GGCUGAAUAGCUCAAUGGUAAGAGCAGUCGCCCGGCAAGCGAAAGACUCGAUUCCCGAUUCAGCGA
This 66-nucleotide transfer RNA is filed under the name Camponotus floridanus (Florida carpenter ant). It matches the Rfam family "tRNA". From Rfam's summary of the family: Transfer RNA (tRNA) molecules are approximately 80 nucleotides in length. Their secondary structure includes four short double-helical elements and three loops (D, anti-codon, and T loops). Further hydrogen bonds mediate the characteristic L-shaped molecular structure. tRNAs have two regions of fundamental functional importance: the anti-codon, which is responsible for specific mRNA codon recognition, and the 3' end, to which the tRNAs corresponding amino acid is attached (by aminoacyl-tRNA synthetases). tRNAs cope with the degeneracy of the genetic code in two manners: having more than one tRNA (with a specific anti-codon) for a particular amino acid; and 'wobble' base-pairing, i.e. permitting non-standard base-pairing at the 3rd anti-codon position. The record is from Rfam by way of RNAcentral. Lineage: Eukaryota; Metazoa; Arthropoda; Insecta; Hymenoptera; Formicidae.